RNAcentral lists this ribosomal RNA (460 nucleotides) under uncultured bacterium. RNAcentral's name for it is "partial 16S ribosomal RNA". It matches the Rfam family "Bacterial small subunit ribosomal RNA", at positions 338 to 795 of the family's 1533-position model. The record is from RNAcentral.
CCUACGGGAGACAGCAGUGAGGAAUAUUGGUCAAUGGACGAGAGUCUGAACCAGCCAAGUAGCGUGAAGGAUGACUGCCCUAUGGGUUGUAAACUUCUUUUAUAAAGGAAUAAAACGAGGCACGUGUGCCUUUUUGCAUGUACUUUAUGAAUAAGGAUCGGCUAACUCCGUGCCAGCAGCCGCGGUAAUACGGAGGAUCCGAGCGUUAUCCGGAUUGAUUGGGUUUAAAGGGAGCGGAGAUGGGUUGUUAAGUCAGUUGUGAAAGUUUGCGGCUCAACCGUAAAAUUGCAAUUGAUACUGGCAGUCUUGAGUACAGUUGAGGUAGGCGGAAUUCGUGGUGUAGCGGUGAAAUGCUUAGAUAUCACGAAGAACCCCGAAUGCGAAGGCAGCUUACUAAACUGUGACUGACAUUGAUGCUCGAAAGUGUGGGUAUCAAACAGGAUUAGAUACCCGAGUAGUC